RNAcentral lists this long non-coding RNA (807 nucleotides) under Felis catus (domestic cat). Its description in RNAcentral is "lncRNA (ENSFCAG00000049050.1)". Lineage: Eukaryota; Metazoa; Chordata; Mammalia; Carnivora; Felidae. The record is from RNAcentral.
UUUUCUCAAUGUGCCAUUUAUCUUUUGUAUAUUUUCUCGUAUUACUAGAUUCCUUUAUUAAGAAUUAGGGAUUAAACAGGUAGGUAGAGAGAAUUUCUUUAUGUUAUUGUCUCAUCCCUUUAAACUUUUGUACAUGUUUAAAUGUUAAUAAUACAUUCUCUUUUCUGUUUCUUUCAUGAGUAAAAUCUGGACUCAUGUCAUGGCUUAAAUGCAGCCUAUGCUGGCAAGCUAUACAUAUUAAGAUUUGAAAAGUAAACUUUGAACCAUUAUUUUGGUGUAAUGCUUAUUAAGGAACCUCUUUUGAAGAUGCUGCACAUAGGGACCAAAUUUGGCAAAGGUGGGGAUCUCCAAAUAAUUACAUUGGAAGAAGAUUUGGAUAUCUGAUGCUCCUUGGAAGUUGGCAAGAAGGGCUCAGAUAUUGAAAAAGCAAAAUAUUUAACUAGGUCUCACCCUAAAAUUUGAGGCAUUUUUGAUGGAAGAAGAAAGUAACUGCAUUGCUUACAGUGACACCAAAGACUCCAUGUGAAUCAAAUAUGUUUUGAUGAUUCUGAAAGUCUGCUGGAUGCUUCAGACAGCCUAUCAGCAAGCUAGCCAUAUGACUAACCAGGGGUGACUUCAGAACUGCCGGUUUCCCAACCAGGGAAGACUUCCAAAGAGCCAUAAGCCACUGGAAAUGUGUCUGUCACAAUUUAGCAGCUGAAUGUAAUGCUGGCUUUCCAGCUUAGGGAAAAAAAAUGAGUAAAAUGCUUCAACAUUGCACUGGAGUUCUCCCUAUAUUCAAUUAAAUUGUUACAUUAUUUAGUGGCU